RNAcentral lists this ribosomal RNA (875 nucleotides) under Vreelandella alkaliphila. RNAcentral describes it as "bacterial SSU rRNA". It matches the Rfam family "Bacterial small subunit ribosomal RNA", at positions 60 to 932 of the family's 1533-position model. Lineage: Bacteria; Pseudomonadati; Pseudomonadota; Gammaproteobacteria; Oceanospirillales; Halomonadaceae. The record is from RNAcentral.
AGUCGAGCGGUAACAGGGGUAGCUUGCUAGCCGCUGACGAGCGGCGGACGGGUGAGUAAUGCAUAGGAAUCUGCCCGAUAGUGGGGGAUAACCUGGGGAAACCCAGGCUAAUACCGCAUACGUCCUACGGGAGAAAGGGGGCUCCGGCUCCCGCUAUUGGAUGAGCCUAUGUCGGAUUAGCUAGUUGGUGAGGUAAUGGCUCACCAAGGCAACGAUCCGUAGCUGGUCUGAGAGGAUGAUCAGCCACAUCGGGACUGAGACACGGCCCGAACUCCUACGGGAGGCAGCAGUGGGGAAUAUUGGACAAUGGGCGAAAGCCUGAUCCAGCCAUGCCGCGUGUGUGAAGAAGGCCCUCGGGUUGUAAAGCACUUUCAGCGAGGAAGAACGCCUAGUGGUUAAUACCCAUCAGGAAAGACAUCACUCGCAGAAGAAGCACCGGCUAACUCCGUGCCAGCAGCCGCGGUAAUACGGAGGGUGCAAGCGUUAAUCGGAAUUACUGGGCGUAAAGCGCGCGUAGGUGGCUUGAUAAGCCGGUUGUGAAAGCCCCGGGCUCAACCUGGGAACGGCAUCCGGAACUGUCAGGCUAGAGUGCAAGAGAGGAAGGUAGAAUUCCCGGUGUAGCGGUGAAAUGCGUAGAGAUCGGGAGGAAUACCAGUGGCGAAGGCGGCCUUCUGGACUGACACUGACACUGAGGUGCGAAAGCGUGGGUAGCAAACAGGAUUAGAUACCCUGGUAGUCCACGCCGUAAACGAUGUCGACCAGCCGUUGGGUGCCUAGCGCACUUUGUGGCGAAGUUAACGCGAUAAGUCGACCGCCUGGGGAGUACGGCCGCAAGGUUAAAACUCAAAUGAAUUGACGGGGGCCCGCACAAGCGG